RNAcentral lists this long non-coding RNA (692 nucleotides) under Malus domestica (apple). RNAcentral describes it as "long non-coding RNA (MDOM_LNC010919)". Lineage: Eukaryota; Viridiplantae; Streptophyta; Magnoliopsida; Rosales; Rosaceae. The record is from RNAcentral.
GAAGAAACAAUUUCGAUCUGAGCUACCGAAAUGGAGUUUUGGUACUCAUAAGGUGGUUGUCCAAUUUUUUGCGGAAAAUUGGAAACUGGUUUGGUAUUUCAGACAUCUGCGACAAUCGCACCGUUAAAGUUUUCUGAAAUUUUGAUAUGUUGUAGAUACUGAGCAGACUAACAACUUUCAAGAAGAAAGUAUUUCAAUCCGAGGUUCGCAAGUUGGAGUUCCGAGGCUGUUUACAUGGCUGUCAAAUUCUCUACGAAUUUUGAGUAUGUACUCUUUUGCUUCUGCAAAGGAUGAUAUACAGUCAUACAACAAUAUAUAUAGUUGCUUCAAGAAAAUCAAUUGUACUGAGAUUUGAAGAUGAAAUGAAAAAGUUUUCUUAUAUGUGAGAUUCCAGUUGAAGGAGGUGAACAGGAUUUGUGGCGUUGUGCUUUCCACUGAUAUGAGAGCUUCUCAUGCUGAUAACGUGUUGUAAAAUCGACGGUGUGUGCAGUGGAAUAAAUAAACAAGACACAAAAUUUACGAGGUUCCUCUAUAGUCAGUGUGACUGGAGUACGUCCUCGGGGCAGCAGUGGUGCUUUCAUUAUAAUCUGAAAUAAUAAGAGUACUAAGAUAACUCACUCUAUUAUCUCCUCUCCUCUUCCUCUCUUUUCUCUCUUCCUUUCUUCCUUCUAUCUCUCCCAUGAACCUCUCAC